RNAcentral lists this ribosomal RNA (465 nucleotides) under uncultured bacterium. Its description in RNAcentral is "partial 16S ribosomal RNA". It matches the Rfam family "Bacterial small subunit ribosomal RNA", at positions 338 to 795 of the family's 1533-position model. The record is from RNAcentral.
CCUACGGGAGGCAGCAGUAGGGAAUCUUCCACAAUGGGCGAAAGCCUGAUGGAGCAACGCCGGGUGGGUGAAGAAGGUCUUCGGAUCGUAAAACCCUGUUGUUAGAGAAGAAAGUGCGUGAGAGUAACUGUUCACGUUUCGACGGUAUCUAACCAGAAAGCCACGGCUAACUACGUGCCAGCAGCCGCGGUAAUACGUAGGUGGCAAGCGUUAUCCGGAUUUGUUGGGCGUAAAGGGAACGCAGGCGGUCUUUUAAGUCUGAUGUGAAAGCCCUCGGCUUAACCGGAGUAGUGCAUUGGAAACUGGGAGACUUGAGUGCAGAAGAGGAGAGUGGAACUCCAUGGGUAGCGGUGAAAUGCGUAGAUAUAUGGAAGAACACCAGUGGCGAAAGCGGCUCUCUGGUCUGUAACUGACGCUGAGGUUCGAAAGCGUGGGUAGCAAACAGGAUUAGAUACCCUUGUAGUC